GGCCUUGUGAACCGAUCAGCCAAUGGUGACUCAACAUCUGAACUGCACAGACAGGCAACUCGUGAUCUUGAGUCAGCUGUCUCUGCCUGGCACUCCAGUUUCUGCCACCUAAUAAAGUUCCAGCGGGACUUUAUACAAUCUGUCCAUGGUUGGUUCAAGCUCACCCUUGUUCCUGUGAGCAAUGACAAUGCAAAUGGUAAUGUGGAACACUCCGAUGCAUAUGCAUUCUGUGAUGAGUGGAAGCAUGCUCUUGACCGUGUGCCAGAUACAGUUGCUUCUGAAGCCAUCAAGAGCUUUAUCAAUGUUGUUCACGUGAUCUCUGUAAAACAGACUGAGGAGCUUAAAAUUAAAAAAAGAACUGAAAGUGUAUCAAAAGAGCUGGAGAAGAAGGCUUCUUCUCUUCGGAACAUUGAAAGGAAGUUCUAUCACUCAUACUCCAUGGUUGGCAUUGGGCUUCCUGAUACUGGAUCUAAUAACGGGCAGGUAUUGGAUG
This 493-nucleotide unclassified non-coding RNA is filed under the name Hevea brasiliensis (rubber tree). Lineage: Eukaryota; Viridiplantae; Streptophyta; Magnoliopsida; Malpighiales; Euphorbiaceae. The record is from RNAcentral.